UACGGAGGAUCCAAGCGUUAUCCGGAUUUAUUGGGUUUAAAGGGUGCGUAGGCGGCCUGUUAAGUCAGGGGUGAAAGACGGUAGCUCAACUAUCGCAGUGCCCUUGAUUCUGAUGGGCUUGAAUGGACUAGAGGUAGGCGGAAUGAGACAAGUAGCGGUGAAAUGCAUAGAUAUGUCUCAGAACACCGAUUGCGAAGGCAGCUUACUAUGGUUUAAUUGACGCUGAGGCACGAAAGCGUGGGGAUCAAACAGG
RNAcentral lists this ribosomal RNA (253 nucleotides) under uncultured bacterium. RNAcentral's name for it is "partial 16S ribosomal RNA". It matches the Rfam family "Bacterial small subunit ribosomal RNA", at positions 524 to 776 of the family's 1533-position model. The record is from RNAcentral.